This 435-nucleotide ribosomal RNA is filed under the name uncultured bacterium. Its description in RNAcentral is "bacterial SSU rRNA". It matches the Rfam family "Bacterial small subunit ribosomal RNA", at positions 28 to 461 of the family's 1533-position model. The record is from RNAcentral.
GAUGAACGCUGGCGGCGUGCUUAACACAUGCAAGUCGAACGGGAUCCAUCAGGCUUUGCUUGGUGGUGAGAGUGGCGAACGGGUGAGUAAUGCGUGACCGACCUGCCCCAUACACCGGAAUAGCUCCUGGAAACGGGUGGUAAUGCCGGAUGCUCCAGUUGAUCACAUGGUCUUCUGGGAAAGCUUUCGCGGUAUGGGAUGGGGUCGCGUCCUAUCAGCUUGACGGCGGGGUAACGGCCCACCGUGGCUUCGACGGGUAGCCGGCCUGAGAGGGCGACCGGCCACAUUGGGACUGAGAUACGGCCCAGACUCCUACGGGAGGCAGCAGUGGGGAAUAUUGCACAAUGGGCGCAAGCCUGAUGCAGCGACGCCGCGUGAGGGAUGGAGGCCUUCGGGUUGUAAACCUCUUUUAUCGGGGAGCAAGCGAGAGUGAGU